This 135-nucleotide ribosomal RNA is filed under the name uncultured eukaryote. RNAcentral's name for it is "partial 18S ribosomal RNA". It matches the Rfam family "Eukaryotic small subunit ribosomal RNA", at positions 1299 to 1458 of the family's 1831-position model. The record is from RNAcentral.
UGGUGGAGCGAUUUGUCUGGUUAAUUCCGAUAACGAACGAGACUCUAGCCUACUAAAUAGUACGUGAAUCUUGACGUUCACGGUACUUCUUAGAGGGACUGACGGUGUUCAGCCGUACGAAAUUGAGCAAUAACA